RNAcentral lists this ribosomal RNA (497 nucleotides) under uncultured bacterium. Its description in RNAcentral is "partial 16S ribosomal RNA". It matches the Rfam family "Bacterial small subunit ribosomal RNA", at positions 28 to 507 of the family's 1533-position model. The record is from RNAcentral.
GACGAACGCUGGCGGCGUGCCUAAUACAUGCAAGUAGAACGCUGAAGAGAGGAGCUUGCUCUUCUUGGAUGAGUUGCGAACGGGUGAGUAACGCGUAGGUAACCUGCCUUGUAGCGGGGGAUAACUAUUGGAAACGAUAGCUAAUACCGCAUAACAAUGGAUGACACAUGUCAUUUAUGUGAAAGGGGCAAUUGCUCCACUACAAGAUGGACCUGCGUUGUAUUAGCUAGUAGGUGAGGUAAUGGCUCACCUAGGCGACGAUACAUAGCCGACCUGGGAGGGUGAUCUGCCACACUGGGACUGAGACACGGCCCAGACUCCUACGGGAGGCAGCAGUAGGGAAUCUUCGGCAAUGGGGGCAACACUGACCGAGCAACGCCGCGUGAGUGAAGAAGGUUUUCGGGUCGUGAAGCUCUGUUGUAAGUCAAGAACGGGUGUGAGAGUGGAAAGUUCACACUGUGACGGUAGCUUACCAGAAAGGGACGGCUAACUACGUG